RNAcentral lists this long non-coding RNA (312 nucleotides) under Meleagris gallopavo (turkey). RNAcentral's name for it is "lncRNA (ENSMGAG00000020619.1)". Lineage: Eukaryota; Metazoa; Chordata; Aves; Galliformes; Phasianidae. The record is from RNAcentral.
AUGGACAGAGCAAUUGCACCAAGCUUUAUGGCCUGUGUCCCUGCAUGCUUCCAGUUUCACCAGCUGGAAACCACAGAGGGUUGCGUCUUACAUUUGUCAAGUGCAUGGAGGUCUGUGUUCAAAUGCCACCACAGGAUGUAUGUAAGUCUCUACAGCAAUUGUCCCAGAGGGCAACACCUGGAACUCAGCACUCCCUUCCUCAACAGCCAAGUCACCCUGCAGAUGACAGUGACCCCCCUACCUGUUGUGAGUAGGCCAGAUGAGAAUCUCCAAGGAUAUCCAAGGCAGGUGAGUCUCAUGUGGUUACCAUAG